GAUGAACGCUGGCGGCGUGCCUAAUACAUGCAAGUCGAGCGAACAGACGAGGAGCUUGCUCCUCUGACGUUAGCGGCGGACGGGUGAGUAACACGUGGAUAACCUACCUAUAAGACUGGGAUAACUUCGGGAAACCGGAGCUAAUACCGGAUAAUAUAUUGAACCGCAUGGUUCAAUAGUGAAAGACGGUUUUGCUGUCACUUAUAGAUGGAUCCGCGCCGCAUUAGCUAGUUGGUAAGGUAACGGCUUACCAAGGCGACGAUGCGUAGCCGACCUGAGAGGGUGAUCGGCCACACUGGACCUGAGACACGGUCCAGACUCCUACGGGAGGCAGCAGUAGGGAAUCUUCCGCAAUGGGCGAAAGCCUGACGGAGCAACGCCGCGGGAGUGAUGAAGGUCUUCGGAUCGUAAAACUCUGUUAUUAGGGAAGAACAAAUGUGUAAGUAACUAUGCACGUCUUGACGGUACCUAAUCAGAAAGCCACGGCUAACUACGU
This 496-nucleotide ribosomal RNA is filed under the name uncultured bacterium. Its description in RNAcentral is "partial 16S ribosomal RNA". It matches the Rfam family "Bacterial small subunit ribosomal RNA", at positions 28 to 506 of the family's 1533-position model. The record is from RNAcentral.